Molecule: long non-coding RNA, 301 nt
Filed under: Gossypium barbadense (sea-island cotton)
Lineage: Eukaryota; Viridiplantae; Streptophyta; Magnoliopsida; Malvales; Malvaceae
Description: long non-coding RNA (GBAR_LNC017114)
Source: RNAcentral
UGGAUUACCACUCUAUCUUUGGCGGAUACAUUGAUAAUACGGAUAUAUACUUAAAUGCCAACUAUCAUACUUUACGUAUCAACUCUCAUUCCACUCCUUAGCUGACUCUAGAUCUUACCAAAUGAUAUAUAUAUACUCUUUUCUAUUGGAAUAAUGAAGGUGCUUAUCAAAAGAAUAUCUAUACAAAACCCUCUUUCAAACAAAUUUCCUCUUCAAAUAAAUAUUUAACAUCUUUCCCCAGAAUGGUUGUUCAUAGAUAUUAUUCCUCGACAGAUACCUACUAACUGAUCUUACAUUUGGU